Molecule: long non-coding RNA, 222 nt
Filed under: Homo sapiens (human)
Lineage: Eukaryota; Metazoa; Chordata; Mammalia; Primates; Hominidae
Description: HSALNT0176052
Source: RNAcentral
CAUCGAUGUCGGCCUUGGGCAGGCUCACAUCCACAUCUGGACCUUCUCCUUUGAAGCCAGGCAUGCUGAAUUUGGGCAUUUUCACCUUGGGCAUCUUCAGGUGCCAGUCUGGGCCAUGAACAUCCACAUCAGGGGUGUUGAUGUCCACUUUUGGGCCCUUGAUGUCACCUUCCACUUUAGGAAGGGUAACAUCCACAUCGCCCUUCACUUUGGGUCCUUUCA